Molecule: long non-coding RNA, 889 nt
Organism: Nicotiana attenuata
Lineage: Eukaryota; Viridiplantae; Streptophyta; Magnoliopsida; Solanales; Solanaceae
Exons: 2
Source: RefSeq, a predicted model, not a curated record
ACAGGUUAAUCUCAACCUCGUCCAAACAAAGCCCUUCAUCUCCCUCUCUCAUCUCUUUCAUCAAAGAACCUGAAAACCCUAGCGCCGCCUUCAAUCUCCUCGCCAUUUUCGGCCGGCGGCGGAGCUCCAAUCACAUCCAAAUCAACACCACACAACCUCUAAAGCCCCCCUCAUCCCAAAUCCCCAUUUCAUUCCCCUCAAAUUUUGGCUGAAGCUUCUCGAAACCUAAAUCUAGGGUUCAAGCCCUAGAAGCCAAAGUUAAAAUUCGUUCAUGCAAGGGUACCUCUCUAGUGUUUAUGAGCGUUCAAGGCCGGUUUUAUCACGAAACAAUGUUAUUCGCCUGUUCUUGACAAUGAACAGAUGAUUAAUAUUGUUUUGCGGUCUAAAUCGGAAGGGCAGUCGGGGUCGAGCCUGAGUCAGUAUCUUUUAGAAGCACAAACGACAUGUAAAGAUGUGAAUCUGCACUUCGAAUAUGAAAUACUUUGGAUACAAAUUGCACUUCAAGUUUAUUUCUUCUGUUUCUUCUAUUUUGUAUUGUGAUGCCUGUAAACCUUAUAUUAUGCAUGCUAGUCUCAUUAGUCUGAUUCUGGAAGGGCAUGAGCAUGAGGUCUGGAUUCAAACGAGCUGAAGUCUUUGAACAUAUGCGUGUCAUGAAAGUCUUGUAAUAGAAGCUAAAGUUUAAGUGUGUGAUUCACGCUGAUUCGUUCAAGCGUUAAUAGUUAGCUACUGUUUAUUGUGAUUGUUGGGGUGGGGUACUGUUAAGCAUUGUAGGUGCAAAAUCAUGAGGAACUACUGUUGAAGCAUGUUGAUUGAUUGCUGAAUGUAUUAGCAGCCUGCAUCCCUUUAUACUUUAUAGAUUGUGCAAAUGACAGUGUUGUUUCUUUCCUUC